GCGCGGGUAGCUCAGUGGUAGAGCGUUCAAUUGCAGCUCGAAGGGUCACUGGUUCAAUUCCGGUCCCGCGCU
Molecule: transfer RNA, 72 nt
Filed under: Phytophthora infestans (potato late blight agent)
Lineage: Eukaryota; Oomycota; Peronosporomycetes; Peronosporales; Peronosporaceae
Description: tRNA-Cys
Rfam family: tRNA
About the family: Transfer RNA (tRNA) molecules are approximately 80 nucleotides in length.
Source: RNAcentral